UUUAAUUUUUUAUUUCAAUUUUGACACUAUGUUUUUUUUGUUCCUAUCGAACAUCAUUUAUCAAAUUUUGUUCAAUUUUGUCUAUUUUCCAUUUGAAACCGUAUAAAUAUAUUUUUUUAUUGAGAAAAUUACACGGUUGGUCCCUAUGGUUUGCUCUUACUUGCACGCUUCGUCCCUGGAAAGAAUUUUUAACUCGGACAAUCCCUAUAACUUUAUUUCGUUACCCGCCUAGUCCUUCAGUUAACUUUCCGUCUUAUUUGGGGUUAGGAACUACUCACGUGAGUGGCACGCUGGGGGCAUUUUUGUCCUUUCAACCCUACAACGGACUUAAAACUAUUUCUCCUUCCUUCUUUUCUCAAUCGGUGCUUCCAGUUCUCCUCUUCUACUCCAUUUCUUUUGCUCGUGAAGAUUGAAGAUCCACAAAAUUGAUUAUGGUGAAAUGCAAGUGUGGAGCUGUAGGGAUCAUACGAACUGCAGGAACAAAGAGAAAUCCUGGUAGGCCUUUUUAUGCAUGCCCUUUACAGGGACCAAGAAGUGGAUUUAUUUCGUGGGUAGAUGAAGAAAAGCAUACGUAUGAGGCUGAAAGCCAAAAUCUUGAGCUUGAAAUCCAUAAUGAAGAACUUCAAAUCCAAAAUCGUGACCUUGAAAUCCAGAAUGAAGAACUUGAAAUCCAAAAUCGGAACCUUAAAAUGUUGUUAAUUGUCAGUUGGAUUUUGUUUUUUGGGAUAAUUGUUUACAAGUUGUAGUAUUAGGUAUUUCAGUAAUGGUUUUUGGUUGAAGAUAAUCUAAUGAAAGGGUAAUAUUAGCAUGUUUGUAUUGCUGCAUUUUAAUGAAAUGGUAUAUUUAGGUACAA
This is a long non-coding RNA of Lactuca sativa (garden lettuce), 853 nucleotides long. RefSeq lists it as uncharacterized. The record is from RefSeq and is a predicted model, not a curated record. Lineage: Eukaryota; Viridiplantae; Streptophyta; Magnoliopsida; Asterales; Asteraceae.